GCGGGCAUGGUGAAAUGGUAUCACAGGAGCCUUCCAAGCUCUUAGUGCGGGUUCGAUUCCCGCUGCCCGCUCCA
This 74-nucleotide transfer RNA is filed under the name Chelativorans sp. BNC1. Its description in RNAcentral is "tRNA-Gly (TCC) (tRNA-Gly-TCC-1-1)". It matches the Rfam family "tRNA". From Rfam's summary of the family: Transfer RNA (tRNA) molecules are approximately 80 nucleotides in length. Their secondary structure includes four short double-helical elements and three loops (D, anti-codon, and T loops). Lineage: Bacteria; Pseudomonadati; Pseudomonadota; Alphaproteobacteria; Hyphomicrobiales; Phyllobacteriaceae. The record is from RNAcentral.